Molecule: ribosomal RNA, 253 nt
Filed under: uncultured bacterium
Lineage: Bacteria
Description: partial 16S ribosomal RNA
Rfam family: Bacterial small subunit ribosomal RNA
Source: RNAcentral
UACGUAGGUGACCAGCGUUGUCCGGAUUUACUGGGCGUAAAGAGCGCGCAGGCGGUCGUUCAAGUCGAGUGUGAAAGCCCCCGGCUCAACUGGGGAGGGUCAUUCGAUACUGAUCGACUUGAAGGCAGGAGAGGGAAGUGGAAUUCCCGGUGUAGCAGUGAAAUGCGUAGAUAUCAAGAGGAACACCAGUGGCGAAGGCGAGUCCCUGGACAAUACCUGACACUGAGGCACGAAAGCCAAGGGAGCAAACGGG